AAGUACUCUGCAGCCACUUAGUGUGGUGUGGACACCAGGUUAUAUCAGCUGUGUCGGUGAACCCCUCUUGCAUCUGAACUGGCUACAUCGAGGGCACAGCAUGAUCAGAUGUGAGAGGUCACUCGGUCGGGUCAACAAUAUGUUUUGAUGUGAGAGGAUGCCAACCCCCAGUCCCAUCAUCGCCAC
Long non-coding RNA from Salvelinus namaycush (lake trout), 186 nucleotides. RefSeq lists it as uncharacterized. The transcript has 3 exons. The record is from RefSeq and is a predicted model, not a curated record. Lineage: Eukaryota; Metazoa; Chordata; Actinopteri; Salmoniformes; Salmonidae.